Molecule: small nucleolar RNA, 74 nt
Filed under: Mola mola (ocean sunfish)
Lineage: Eukaryota; Metazoa; Chordata; Actinopteri; Tetraodontiformes; Molidae
Description: Small nucleolar RNA SNORD2 (ENSMMOG00000018393.1)
Rfam family: Small nucleolar RNA SNORD2
Source: Rfam by way of RNAcentral
UGGUGACAUGAUGGCAUACCAUCUUUCGGGACUGACUCUUGAAAUGGAGAGUUUGUUACAUUUACUGAUCACUU